GGCACGGAUCGUAACUGGCGCGAAAAAGUGGUUACCACUGGGAAGCGAUCUGGUCCCCCUUGAUGCGUCGCACGCCUGGGCGUUGGGG
RNAcentral lists this non-coding RNA (88 nucleotides) under Actinomyces sp. RNAcentral's name for it is "ZTP sequence". It matches the Rfam family "ZMP/ZTP riboswitch aptamer (pfl RNA motif)". From Rfam's summary of the family: Previously known as pfl RNA. The record is from RNAcentral. RNAcentral also lists the same sequence under 1 other name. Lineage: Bacteria; Bacillati; Actinomycetota; Actinomycetes; Actinomycetales; Actinomycetaceae.